CAAAUUACUACUUUAGGAGAAACCUACCUAGAACUGGUGAAGAGGUUGGAUGAAGCUCUUCAUGGUUUUACCGAAGGUCCUCCAUUUACCCUUCAGAGGCUUUAUGAGAUUCUCAUGGCACAAAGAGCAAAGUAAAUGAAAGCAAGUGCAAAAAGGUCCUACAGAAUUAGUGC
Rosa chinensis is the source of this 173-nucleotide long non-coding RNA. RefSeq lists it as uncharacterized. NCBI's taxonomy places the organism in Eukaryota, Viridiplantae, Streptophyta, Magnoliopsida, Rosales, Rosaceae. The transcript has 3 exons. The record is from RefSeq and is a predicted model, not a curated record.